GACAUAGGUUGCGAACGUUAUCCGGAAUUAUUGGGCGUAAAGGAUGCGUAGAUGGUUUGAUAAGUUAUCAGUGGCAAAUCGGGGCUCAACCUCGUGGAAGUUGGUAAUACUGUCAUACUUGAGUGCAGGAGAGGUUAACGGAACUCUAUAUGGAGCGGUAAAAUGUGACGAUAUAUAGAAGAACACCAAUAAGGCGAAGGCAGUUAACUAUUCUGUUACUGACAUUGAGGCAUGAAAGCGUGGGGAGCAAAACGG
Molecule: ribosomal RNA, 255 nt
Filed under: uncultured bacterium
Lineage: Bacteria
Description: partial 16S ribosomal RNA
Rfam family: Bacterial small subunit ribosomal RNA
Source: RNAcentral